This is a long non-coding RNA of Astatotilapia calliptera (eastern happy), 408 nucleotides long. The record is from Ensembl. Lineage: Eukaryota; Metazoa; Chordata; Actinopteri; Cichliformes; Cichlidae.
CCAGGACCAUAAUGAACCCUGACUCCCACAGACACUCAGGAUCCACCUGCCCAAGCUGCAUGAACCUGUUGUUGAUGUCAGAGAGUCAAACUCUGCUGAAGAGUGGGUUGUUUCCUGUUCAGCCACUGGUCGACCUGCUCCCACUGUAACACUCAGUGUCUCACAGUACAACACUGUCAUGUGUCCAACACCAACGCUACAGUCACUGUCACCACUACAGCUGUGCUCUCAGGUUCACGUAAACACAGCACACAGGUGGGAUGUGCAGCACGAGUGCUCUCUGCUCCUCACAGAGAGGUGAUGGAGACGAUUCCUGAGGUGGACUUGUUGGUGUGCUUUGGAUCAAGUGCACUUCAGCUUGUGGUCGUGAACAGAUGCCAGACAUUCUCCUUCAGGAUCCCAGAAACU